GGUGGUGCAUGGUUGUCGUCAGCUCGUGUCGUGAGAUGUUGGGUUAAGUCCCGCAACGAGCGCAACCCUUAUUAUCAGUUGCCAGCAUUCAGUUGGGCACUCUGGUGAGACUGCCGGUGACAAACCGGAGAAAGGUGGGGAUGACGUCAAAUCAUCAUGCCCCUUAUGACCUGGGCUACACACGUGCUACAAUGGACGGUACANNNNNNCGCGAAGUCGUGAGGCUAAGCUAAUCUCUUAAAGCCGUUCUCAGUUCGGAUUGUAGGCUGCAACUCGCCUACAUGAAGUUGGAAUCGCUAGUAAUCGCGGAUCAGCAUGCCGCGGUGAAUACGUUCCCGGGUCUUGUACACACA
RNAcentral lists this ribosomal RNA (353 nucleotides) under uncultured bacterium. Its description in RNAcentral is "bacterial SSU rRNA". It matches the Rfam family "Bacterial small subunit ribosomal RNA", at positions 1037 to 1391 of the family's 1533-position model. The record is from RNAcentral.